GAAAAAUUAAUUUUAGUUAUGGAGCUAAGGAAUUAAUGAAAAGUAAAGCAGCUAAGCAAGUGGAUUAUCUAAUAAAAUUAAGAGACUCUAAAAUUAAUCGAAGUAAUGUUCAUGUGUCUUGAUUAACGGUGAUAACCUAGCUAGACAUGUGGCUUGUCUUAUAUGCCAAAAGUCAAUGUCAAAACAAAGUCUUGAUUGUUAGUGUUUUAUGGUUUUUAAUUUUGUUUAUUUUUUUUGAACUUUCGGGUUUUAGAUUUGGGUUAAGUUUUCUGUAUAAUUUCAGGCUUUUACUUUUAGUUUUUAGGCUUCUGUUUGUUUGAAAUCUUUGUUUUGAAGUUUAUAAUUUUUUUAUUUUCUGUAUAUUUUAGGUUUUUAAAAUCUUGAAUGGUUUUAAAAAUAAUUUUUAGACUUUAGGUUUUUGAGUUUUUGGUUUCAUAUUUUUGAUAAAUGUUUUAAAUUUAUAUUAAAAAACAUGAUUGAUACUUUUGUUGAGCUUUUGGUUUUUACCUUUUAACUUUUUAUCUCUAAAUAUUAUGUUUUGAAAACAUUUUGUUCGUUUAAGUUUUAGGUUUUGAAUUAUCUAUUUAUUUAUUUUUCUUUUCUCUUAUAAGCUUUUAUAUCCAGGUAGGAAUGAAAAAAAAAUACAAUUAAAACUAAAGAAAAAAAUCUACAAACUCCGAACAAAACAGACUAAGCUAGCAGUGCCAAUAUUAAACCGUUAUAAUGGAUAUAUAAAAAAGAAAAAGAUUGACACCAAGAAACUUGCUGGAGCUGACCGCAAAGCGAUUAGGAGACCGCCGUCAAGAAUCUCCAC
This 814-nucleotide long non-coding RNA is filed under the name Brassica rapa (field mustard). RNAcentral's name for it is "long non-coding RNA (BRAP_LNC005035)". Lineage: Eukaryota; Viridiplantae; Streptophyta; Magnoliopsida; Brassicales; Brassicaceae. The record is from RNAcentral.